This is a non-coding RNA of Schistosoma rodhaini, 48 nucleotides long. The record is from Rfam. Lineage: Eukaryota; Metazoa; Platyhelminthes; Trematoda; Strigeidida; Schistosomatidae.
AUCCAGAUGACGAGUCUCAAAUAAGACGAAGUGACACAAGUCCUGGAU